This 1599-nucleotide ribosomal RNA is filed under the name Triticum aestivum (bread wheat). RNAcentral's name for it is "partial small subunit ribosomal RNA". The record is from RNAcentral. Lineage: Eukaryota; Viridiplantae; Streptophyta; Magnoliopsida; Poales; Poaceae.
AUGGGCUCGGACGCCCCGAUCUCCUUGCUCCGGCGCCUGGCCGCCCCGCUCUCCUUGCUCCGGCACCUGGCCGCCGAUUUCCUCGGCGUCGUACGCUUCCGUAUCCACUCGGCCACCUUCCCAAGCACCAAGAGGCUCAAGAGAAUUUUCUUCCAAGGUUUGCUUGACAAGAUUGCCAAGAAGUUAGCCGCAUGGAAAGCUCGAUGGAUUACUUUGGCUGGUCGUACUGUUCUGGUCAGAUUCGUGCUCUCUGCAAUGCCUAUUUUUCAACUUAUUGCCGUUAAGCAGCCAAAAUGGUUUAUUAAACAAAUCGACAAGAUGAGAAGGGCCUUUCUUUGGGCCGGGUCAGAUUCAGUUAGUGGUGGAAAAUGCUUGAUCAAAUGGUCUCAAGUUUGCUCUCCUCUUGAGCUUGGUGGGCUACGUAUACCUGAUCUGAUUUGUCAAGGAAGGGCACUGAGAGUUAGGUGGCUCUGGCAGAACGCCACUGAUGGUGAUAAAUCUUGGCAUGGGUUAACACUGCCAGUGGACAAGGAGGUUAAGGCCAUUUUUGUGGCUAGUACUUCAAUCAAGAUUGGGAAUGGAAAAUCCUUCAGUUUUUGGCAUGACCAUUGGCUGCAUGGUGAGAUCCCCUCGGUUUCCUUCCCGUUAUUUUACAAGCAUUGUAAUAGGCGCCAGAUCACUGUCUCUGAAGGUCUCACGGAUAAUCUCUGGAUUUGGCUCAUCAAGCGCAAUCCUGAUGAGGCUGUUCUAAGAGAAUUUGUUGACUUAUGGCACAGAUUACAAAGCUUCAACAUCUCUGAAUUGGAAGAUGAAAAUUGUUGGAAAUGGACUGCGAAUGGAACUUAUUGCACACAAUCUACAUACCACUUACAGUUUUAUGGCAGAGUCAGCUCUCCUUUCUUGAACAUCAUUUGGCAGAUCAAAAUCCCCCCAAAAAUAAAGAUGUUUGCUUGGCUGGCUGUGCAAGGAAAGUGUCUUACGGCUGACAACCUUGCAAGGAGAAAAUGGCCCCAUGACCCGGUCUGCCCCCUCUGCAGAAUUGGCCUCGAAUCCGCUCACCACCUCUUUGCUGAUUGCCCAUUCACAGCUGGUGUUUGGGGUUUCUGCCUGACAAAAUUUCAGUUUCCAUUUGAUGCUAGACCGAAUAGGAAGCAGGCCUUCUCCUCGCUGGUGAUGGCUAUUUGGUGGGGCAUUUGGAAGGAACGAAAUGAUCGCAUCUUCAACCAUAAAUUUUUCUCCUUUCUGAAUAUUUGUGAUCAAAUUGUACUCGAGCUGCGCACUUGGUGGACUGCCGGCCUCAAGGCUCUGCACCGCAUGUCUGAAGUCCUCCUCGUCUGGUCUUGCCUGAGCUGUAUAUGCGGGGACGCCAACGCGGUGGGCGAGCUGAUGAUGCCGCCAAAACUCAGCGUUGAUGGGAAUGAGAUGAUGCGACGCUACCGGUUACAUGUGUGUGUCAACGGGGAACCACAUCAUGACAGCAAGGUGUUGAUUGCGUCAAUUUUGUGUGUGUAUGUGAAAGAGAGAGCACCACAACUAACAACACUUCAAGGGAGAGGCGACGCGAUUCGUUGGGGCCGAGGGUUGACCGGUCUCCUCUGA